GACGAACGCUGGCGGCGUGCUUAACACAUGCAAGUCGAACGGAAAGACCCUGCUUUUGUGGGGUGCUCGAGUGGCGAACGGGUGAGUAACACGUGAGUAACCUGCCCUUGACUUUGGGAUAACUUCAGGAAACUGGGGCUAAUACCGGAUAGGAGCUCCUGCUGCAUGGUGGGGGUUGGAAAGUUUCGACGGUUGGGGAUGGACUCGCGGCUUAUCAGCUUGUUGGUGGGGUAGUGGCUUACCAAGGCUUUGACGGGUAGCCGGCCUGAGAGGGUGACCGGCCCCAUGGGAACGGGGAUACGGCCCAGACUCUUCCGGAGGGCAGCGGGGGGAAUAUUGCACAAUGGGCGGAAGCCUGAUGCAGCAACGCCGCGUGCGGGAUGACGGCCUUCGGGUUGUAAACCGCUUUCGCCUGUGACGAAGCGUGAGUGACGGUAAUGGGUAAAGAAGCACCGGCUAACUACGUG
Molecule: ribosomal RNA, 467 nt
Filed under: uncultured bacterium
Lineage: Bacteria
Description: partial 16S ribosomal RNA
Rfam family: Bacterial small subunit ribosomal RNA
Source: RNAcentral